ACGGGUGAGUAACGCGUGAGUAACCUGCCUUUCAGAGGGGGAUAACGUUCUGAAAAGAACGCUAAUACCGCAUGAGACUACAGAGCCGCAUGGCUCAGUGGUCAAAGGAGCAAUCCGCUGAAAGAUGGACUCGCGUCCGAUUAGAUAGUAGGCGGGGUAACGGCCCACCUAGUCGACGAUCGGUAGCCGGACUGAGAGGUUGAACGGCCACAUUGGGACUGAGACACGGCCCAGACUCCUACGGGAGGCAGCAUG
This 255-nucleotide ribosomal RNA is filed under the name uncultured bacterium. RNAcentral describes it as "partial 16S ribosomal RNA". It matches the Rfam family "Bacterial small subunit ribosomal RNA", at positions 102 to 353 of the family's 1533-position model. The record is from RNAcentral.